ACGCGAGCUGGGUUCAGAACGUCGUGAGACAGUUCGGUCCCUAUCUGUCGUGGGCGCAGGAAAUUUGAGAGGAGCUGUCCUUAGUACGAGAGGACCGGGAUGGACGCACCGCUGGUGCACCAGUUGUUCCGCCAGGAGCACAGCUGGGUAGCUAUGUGCGGCCGGGAUAAGCGCUGAAAGCAUCUAAGCGUGAAGCCCCCCUCAAGAUGAGAUUUCCCACAGCAUAAGCUGGUAAGACCCCUUAAAGAUGAUGAGGUAGAUAGGUUCGGGGUGGAAGCGUGGCAACACGCGGAGCUGACGAAUACUAAUCGGUCGAGGGCUUAACCAA
This 328-nucleotide ribosomal RNA is filed under the name Aneurinibacillus migulanus. RNAcentral describes it as "bacterial LSU rRNA". It matches the Rfam family "Bacterial large subunit ribosomal RNA", at positions 2598 to 2925 of the family's 2925-position model. Lineage: Bacteria; Bacillati; Bacillota; Bacilli; Caryophanales; Paenibacillaceae. The record is from RNAcentral.